CCUACGGGUGGCAGCAGUGAGGAAUAUUGGUCAAUGGGCGCGAGCCUGAACCAGCCAAGUCGCGUGAGGGAUGAAGGUUCUAUGGAUCGUAAACCUCUUUUAUAAGGGAAUAAAGUGUGGGACGUGUCCGAUUUUGUAUGUACCUUAUGAAUAAGGAUCGGCUAACUCCGUGCCAGCAGCCGCGGUAAGACGGAGGAUCCGAGCGUUAUCCGGAUUUAUUGGGUUUAAAGGGUGCGUAGGCGGCCUUUUAAGUCAGCGGUGAACGUCGGUGGCUCAACCAUAGAAUUGCCGUUGAAACUGGGGGGCUUGAUUAUGUUUGCGGCAGGCGGAAUGCUUGGUGUAGCGGUGCCAUGCUU
This 356-nucleotide ribosomal RNA is filed under the name uncultured bacterium. Its description in RNAcentral is "partial 16S ribosomal RNA". It matches the Rfam family "Bacterial small subunit ribosomal RNA", at positions 338 to 691 of the family's 1533-position model. The record is from RNAcentral.